This is a non-coding RNA of Dictyocaulus viviparus (bovine lungworm), 46 nucleotides long. Lineage: Eukaryota; Metazoa; Nematoda; Chromadorea; Rhabditida; Metastrongylidae. The record is from Rfam.
CCAACGGCCCUCUUUAGGGCCACAAUCUCAGUCGAAUACUUUCAGU